UCCGAAAUAGCUUUUAGGGCUAGCCUCAAGUGAUGAUUAUUGGAGGUAGAGCACUGUUUGGACGAGGGGCCCCUCUCGGGUUACCGAAUUCAGACAAACUCCGAAUGCCAAUUAAUUUAACUUGGGAGUCAGAACAUGGGUGAUAAGGUCCGUGUUCGAAAGGGAAACAGCCCAGACCACCAGCUAAGGUCCCAAAAUAUAUGUUAAGUGGAAAAGGAUGUGGCGUUGCCCAGACAACUAGGAUGUUGGCUUAGAAGCAGCCAUCAUUUAAAGAGUGCGUAAUAGCUCACUAGUCGAGUGACACUGCGCCGAAAAUGUACCGGGGCUAAACAUAUUACCGAAGCUGUGGAUUGUCCUUUGGACAAUGGUAGGAGAGCGUUCUAAGGGCGUUGAAGCAUGAUCGUAAGGACAUGUGGAGCGCUUAGAAGUGAGAAUGCCGGUGUGAGUAGCGAAAGACGGGUGAGAAUCCCGUCCACCGAUUGACUAAGGUUUCCAGAGGAAGGCUCGUCCGCUCUGGGUUAGUCGGGUCCUAAGCUGAGGCCGACAGGCGUAGGCGAUGGAUAACAGGUUGAUAUUCCUGUACCACCUAUAAUCGUUUUAAUCGAUGGGGGACGCAGUAGGAUAGGCGAAGCGUGCGAUUGGAUUGCACGUCUAAGCAGUAAGGCUGAGUAUUAGGCAAAUCCGGUACUCGUUAAGGCUGAGCUGUGAUGGGGAGAAGACAUUGUGUCUUCGAGUCGUUGAUUUCACACUGCCGAGAAAAGCCUCUAGAUAGAAAAUAGGUGCCCGUACCGCAAACCGACACAGGUAGUCAAGAUGAGAAUUCUAAGGUGAGCGAGCGAACUCUCGUUAAGGAACUCGGCAAAAUGACCCCGUAACUUCGGGAGAAGGGGUGCUCUUUAGGGUUAACGCCCAGAAGAGCCGCAGUGAAUAGGCCCAAGCGACUGUUUAUCAAAAACACAGGUCUCUGCUAAACCGUAAGGUGAUGUAUAGGGGCUGACGCCUGCCCGGUGCUGGAAGGUUAAGAGGAGUGGUUAGCUUCUGCGAAGCUACGAAUCGAAGCCCCAGUAAACGGCGGCCGUAACUAUAACGGUCCUAAGGUAGCGAAAUUCCUUGUCGGGUAAGUUCCGACCCGCACGAAAGGCGUAACGAUUUGGGCACUGUCUCAACGAGAGACUCGGUGAAAUCAUAGUACCUGUGAAGAUGCAGGUUACCCGCGACAGGACGGAAAGACCCCGUGGAGCUUUACUGUAGCCUGAUAUUGAAAUUCGGCACAGCUUGUACAGGAUAGGUAGGAGCCUUUGAAACGUGAGCGCUAGCUUACGUGGAGGCGCUGGUGGGAUACUACCCUAGCUGUGUUGGCUUUCUAACCCGCACCACUUAUCGUGGUGGGAGACAGUGUCAGGCGGGCAGUUUGACUGGGGCGGUCGCCUCCUAAAAGGUAACGGAGGCGCUCAAAGGUUCCCUCAGAAUGGUUGGAAAUCAUUCAUAGAGUGUAAAGGCAUAAGGGAGCUUGACUGCGAGACCUACAAGUCGAGCAGGGUCGAAAGACGGACUUAGUGAUCCGGUGGUUCCGCAUGGAAGGGCCAUCGCUCAACGGAUAAAAGCUACCCCGGGGAUAACAGGCUUAUCUCCCCCAAGAGUUCACAUCGACGGGGAGGUUUGGCACCUCGAUGUCGGCUCAUCGCAUCCUGGGGCUGUAGUCGGUCCCAAGGGUUGGGCUGUUCGCCCAUUAAAGCGGUAACGCGAGCUGGGUUCAGAACGUCGUGAGACAGUUCGGUCCCUAUCCGUCGUGGGCGUAGGAAAUUUGAGAGGAGCUGUCCUUAGUACGAGAGGACCGGGAUGGACAUACCUCUGGUGUACCAGUUGUCGUGCCAACGGCAUAGCUGGGUAGCUAUGUGUGGACGGGAUAAGUGCUGAAAGCAUCUAAGCAUGAAGCCCCCCUCAAGAUGAGAUUUCCCAACUUCGGUUAUAAGAUCCCUCAAAGAUGAUGAGGUUAAUAGGUUCGAGGUGGAAGCAUGGUGACAUGUGGAGCUGACGAAUACUAAUCGAUCGAAGACUUAAUCA
This 2064-nucleotide ribosomal RNA is filed under the name Staphylococcus aureus subsp. aureus SA8601. RNAcentral's name for it is "partial 23S ribosomal RNA". It matches the Rfam family "Bacterial large subunit ribosomal RNA", at positions 858 to 2925 of the family's 2925-position model. The record is from RNAcentral. Lineage: Bacteria; Bacillati; Bacillota; Bacilli; Caryophanales; Staphylococcaceae.